Molecule: transfer RNA, 85 nt
Filed under: Candidatus Hydrogenedentota bacterium
Lineage: Bacteria; Pseudomonadati; Candidatus Hydrogenedentota
Description: tRNA-Leu
Rfam family: tRNA
About the family: Transfer RNA (tRNA) molecules are approximately 80 nucleotides in length.
Source: RNAcentral
GCCCGGGUGGUGGAAUUGGCAGACACGCUAGACUAAGGAUCUAGUCCCUCACGGGGUGCGAGUUCAAGUCUCGCCUCGGGCACCA